Long non-coding RNA from Myzus persicae (green peach aphid), 1220 nucleotides. RefSeq lists it as uncharacterized. The transcript has 3 exons. The record is from RefSeq and is a predicted model, not a curated record. NCBI's taxonomy places the organism in Eukaryota, Metazoa, Arthropoda, Insecta, Hemiptera, Aphididae.
AAGUUAUAACAUGGCCAUGAUUUGUAAUGACUAAUGACUGAAGAUAUAUGGCUAUAUAGAGUGUAGACAUAUUCUGAUAUAACCAAGUCAAAAGUCCAAACGUUCAACAUCUAUUUGUGGUAUACCUAUUCAUGUCUGUGAAAUUCAAUGUAAUAUACUUCGCAGUUCGCAUCAAUAAUCUGGAAUGUUUUAUUAAAAUGUGAAUAAAGUUAAAGCUGAACAAUCUUACAUUGAAAAUCAAAAGGAUAGAUUUUCAAGUGGACACCAUUACUGCUGAAAAUAUAGAUAACCCAUCAGAUGUAUUAGUUAGAGCUGCCAAGAAUCAAUUUCAAUUUAAGCGAUGAUCUGUGUAUCUGAUGAUGAGUCAGUAAAGUGUAAGUUUUUUCUGUAUAAUAUCCAUGUUUAUUGUCAUAAUAUUUAAUUUGUAUAAAUGUAUAUCAUACAAGUUGGACAGUGUAUAGUUUAUAUCUUCAGUUCUGAGUGUAGUGAAUAAUGUAAAAAUAAUUUAUUAUUCCAGCUUAGGUACCUUACCAGUGGUCAAAGUACUAUUGUUGCUAUAAUUUUAGGUGUGUCGUGUGUGCACAAGGACAGCAGGGUGUGCACUUGCUGCCUCUGGCCCGAAAGAGACAGUCGAGACAAAUUAAAUGCAAUUUAAUUUGCAAAGUAUGUUAUGCGUAAAUUUUAAAUAUAUAUAUUUUUUUAUUACUUUCAAGCCUCAACAACUAAGGUUAUUAGCUCACAUAUUUACAAUAUUAAAAUAUGAUUAAUCUUAGUAUGCACAAUGCAGAAAAAGAAAAAGACAUACAAUGAUAUAAGGUUAGUUUGGUUAUUUUUAAAAAAGUUAGAAUAUUGUUGGGAUUUAAUAAUCAGGUUCAAGUGCUUUAUAUAGGUGCUUAGGUAUAUUUAAUGAGGUUCUAAUGUCUACAUAAUUGCUGCAGUAUAGAAGAACUUCACAGUUAGAGCUUCACCGCAGGUAGUACAUUGGAUAGGUUCUUCGUGUUUCAUGAGCACACAAUAUGUGUGAAUUAUAUUAUAGUAUUGAUAGUAAAAGGUAGACAAUAAGUUAAGUCAUUUUAGUUAUAGUUGGAAAUUGCAUUGGGCCUUAGCAUAUCUGUAGUAUUUCACAUAUAGCUAUCGUAUUAAACUGAAUGAAUACGAGAUAAAAUAAUAUAAUAUUUCAUAAAGUCUGUGGAGAAGUAAUACAUAUAAGUAAUACAUCA